This is a long non-coding RNA of Oncorhynchus keta (chum salmon), 599 nucleotides long. RefSeq lists it as uncharacterized. The record is from RefSeq and is a predicted model, not a curated record. NCBI's taxonomy places the organism in Eukaryota, Metazoa, Chordata, Actinopteri, Salmoniformes, Salmonidae. The transcript has 3 exons.
AAGUAUAACCAGGUAAGAGUCCACUACUUGAGCAUCAAUGAUAGCCUACAUGGAUGCAGGGGUCUCCUUCCCAGGGUACCAAGGGCUUACCACUGAGGAGAGGAGCCCACGCAGGGCGUAUCGUGUGGAGAUUGGUCCUGGCGACUGUGUUAUAGGAAUUGAGAAGCACCCUUGACAAAAAAAAAAUGGCUUGUGACAGGCGUUGCAUGCGCAAUGAACGGUUUGCGGUUGAUUCCAGUACAGUAUAAAAUGAGUCCGCAUCAUUCCCUGACAUCUUCCUUCAAUAGAGGGCUGAAAUCUCAGUUCCCUGCUAUCAUCAGAUUUGGACGGAGGAGCCUCUAUCUGAGCCAGGCUACUGUGGAAAGAGGAUUGUUGACCCUCCCUACCCACCCUGCUCAUUCCCUGAGGACCCACCCUGUUGCUGGUUGGGUGUCGCUCCCCGCUCUGCCUGGUGGUGGCCCUCGGGAGCUUUGAGCGCAUAGAGAGUGCAAUAGUGCAGCAGCCAUGACGAACGCAGUGAUGGGCGGUAGCUCGGACCGCUGGGUGCCCAACGAUAGGCAGAUGAGCAUGCAUGCCAAGUAAGCACGGGUGGCAGAACA